This 460-nucleotide ribosomal RNA is filed under the name uncultured bacterium. RNAcentral describes it as "partial 16S ribosomal RNA". It matches the Rfam family "Bacterial small subunit ribosomal RNA", at positions 338 to 795 of the family's 1533-position model. The record is from RNAcentral.
CCUACGGGCGGCAGCAGUGAGGAAUAUUGGUCAAUGGCCGUAAGGCUGAACCAGCCAAGUAGCGUGAGGGAAGACUGCCCUAUGGGUUGUAAACCUCUUUUAUGCGGGGAUAAAGGUGUCCACGUGUGGAUGUUUGCAGGUACCGCAUGAAUAAGGACCGGCUAAUUCCGUGCCAGCAGCCGCGGUAAUACGGAAGGUCCGGGCGUUAUCCGGAUUUAUUGGGUUUAAAGGGAGCGUAGGCCGGUCUUUAAGCGUGCCGGGAAAUUUUGUGGCUCAAUCAUGAGAGUGCGGCGCGAACUGGAGACCUUGAGUGCGCGGAAGGCAGGCGGAAUUCGUGGUGUAGCGGUGAAAUGCUUAGAUAUCACGAAGAACCCCGAUUGCGAAGGCAGCCUGCCGCAGCGUUACUGACGCUGAAGCUCGAAAGCGCGGGUAUCGAACAGGAUUAGAUACCCCAGUAGUC